This 1574-nucleotide ribosomal RNA is filed under the name Zoanthus sp. QL-2018. Its description in RNAcentral is "bacterial LSU rRNA". It matches the Rfam family "Bacterial large subunit ribosomal RNA", at positions 866 to 2555 of the family's 2925-position model. Lineage: Eukaryota; Metazoa; Cnidaria; Anthozoa; Zoantharia; Zoanthidae. The record is from RNAcentral.
CUAUUUAGGUAGCGCCUCGUGUCUAACUCGGGGGGGUAGAGCACUGUUUCGGCUAGGGGGCCAUCCCGGCUUACCAAACCGAUGCAAACUCCGAAUACCGAGAAGUUCAAUCACGGGAGACACACGGCGGGUGCUAACGUCCGUCGUGGAGAGGGAAACAACCCUGACCUACAGCUAAGGCCCCUAAUUCGUGGCUAAGUGGGAAAGCAGGUGGGACGACCAAAACAACCAGGAGGUUGGCUUAGAAGCAGCCAUCCUUUAAAGAAAGCGUAACAGCUCACUGGUCUAAAUAAGGGUUUCUGCGCCGAAAAUGUAACGGGGCUAAAGCCAUGCACCGAAACUGCGAGGUUCUUUUGAACCGGUAGCGGAGCGUUCUGUAAGCUGAUGAAGGGUAACCGCGAGGAAGCCUGGAGGUAUCAGAAGUGAGAAUGCUGACAUGAGUAACGACAAAGAGUGUGAGAAACACUCUCGCCGAAAGUCCAAGGGUUCCUGUGCAAUGCUAAUCAGCGCAGGGUUAGCCGGCCCCUAAGUCGAGGCAGAAAUGCGUAGACGAUGGGAAUCACGUUAAUAUUCGUGAGCCAGAAGAUGGUGACGGAUUAACAGGUCUGUACAUCCUUAUCGGAUUGGGUGUGCAGUGAGUUAGUCCCAGGAAAUAGCCUCUUCAUUAGACCGUACUCUAAACCGACACAGGUGGACAGGUAGAGAAUACUAAGGCGCUUGAGAGAACUACGUUGAAGGAACUCGGCAAAAUGCCCCCGUAAGUUCGCGAGAAGGGGGCCCAAUAUGAAGGCAACUUUAUAUUGGGGGCACAGACCAGGGGGUGGCGACUGUUUACUAAAAACACAGGGCUCUGCGAAGCCGCAAGGCGACGUAUAGGGUCUGACGCCUGCCCGGUGCUGGAAGGUUAAGAGGAGAGGUGCAAGCUGCGAAUCGAAGCCCCAGUAAACGGCGGCCGUAACUAUAACGGUCCUAAGGUAGCGAAAUUCCUUGUCGGGUAAGUUCCGACCUGCACGAAUGGCGUAACGAUGGCCACACUGUCUCCACCCGGGACUCAGUGAAAUUGAAAUCGCUGUUAAGAUGCAGUGUACCCGCGGCUAGACGGAAAGACCCCGUGAACCUUUACUAUAGCUUGACACUGAACUCUGAGCCUACUUGUGUAGGAUAGCUGGGAGGCUUUGAAGCAGUGACGCCAGUCAUUGUGGAGCCAAUCUUGAAAUACCAGCCUGGUAUGUUUGAUGUUCUAACUUAGGCCCGUUAUCCGGGUUGAGGACAGUGUAUGGUGGGUAGUUUGACUGGGGCGGUCUCCUCCCAAAGAGUAACGGAGGCGCCCAAAGGUUCCCUCAGACUGGUCGGCCAUCAGUCGUUGAGUGCAAUGGCACAAGGGAGCUUGACUGCGAGACCUACAAGUCGAGCAGGUACGAAAGUAGGUCUUAGUGAUCCGGUGGUUCUGUAUGGAAGGGCCAUCGCUCAACGGAUAAAAGGUACUCCGGGGAUAACAGGCUGAUCUUCCCCAAGAGUUCAUAUCGACGGGAAGGUUUGGCACCUCGAUGUCGGCUCAUCGCAUCCUGGGGCUG